Odocoileus virginianus texanus is the source of this 304-nucleotide long non-coding RNA. RefSeq lists it as uncharacterized. The record is from RefSeq and is a predicted model, not a curated record. Lineage: Eukaryota; Metazoa; Chordata; Mammalia; Artiodactyla; Cervidae.
GUAGCUCUCUGCUAUGAGUUAAGGAGCCUGUCUCACAAGUUCCUCCAAUCAUGUCCUGGUCACUUUCUCCAGUCUGGAUCAGAUGCUCUGGAGGCUACAGAUGGGGCCACGAGUGGUUCAAGAAGGCUCAGGGAAGAAUCUGCCUGGCUGAGAAGAGAGUGUGGCUGCAUCUGAGGAGGGCAGUGGCUGACCCAGCUUCCGGUGUGCAGGAGGGCCACUGGGGAAGGGGCUGAAAAGAGGGGCUGAGCUGGGCCAGAUGGAGCCAAGGGGAUCGUUCCAACAUGAAUGUCACAACUGGAUUCAG